GGUCUUGAGGGUGUUUCAUAGUGUGAACAGCUCCCUUUCCUGAGUGUGACGUCAGUCUUUCCAGAACAAGUCAGCUCCUUCAUCUCGUAUUCAGCUGCCUGGACAGUGAUCAUAGAAGCGCUGGAGGAAAACUUGCUGCGCUGGCCUAACUGAGGGAUGACCCUUUGCUGGCUGGUUUAGGAGGUGUUCAAAGGUUUCAGAUGCCCACUCCAGCACAUGGAGAGUGACUGCUUUGAGGAUUUUGCGACUAGGUAAUAAAUUGACACAUUCUGUUCAGUAGUUGCAGUGUGAUUUUGGGAAAUGCUUACUACCCUUUUUUCUUCGGUACCUCUGUCACCACUUGCUCUCUGAUGCUUAAAAUCUACUAGUAGUCAGCAGUGCCUUUCAUUCACCUAUUAGGAGGCCAUAAAUGCAGGAGGCUUUGACAGACAGGAGAACACAGUGGGUGGAGCUUACAGCAAAGCUCUAGAAGCUCAGGACCCUCUGCAUUUGGUAUCCCUCCAAGACCCCCUGGACCAGUUUGAAAACCACUAAUCUCAGAGAGCCUUCCAGGGCUGUUACUACUUCAGAUUAAGGCUGAAACUAUGAUCUGUUCAGUAUUCAAGAGCAGCACCAGCACAGAGAAGUAACAAGAUAUAAAUAAUAAAUAAAUAACACAAAACAGACAUUUGGACAAAAGCUACCAUAUAAUUUUCUUUACAAUGACUGCUACUGGGAAGAAUAGUUAAUAAAGAGGACAAAGAAUGAAUUCCUGAAAAACUGAAACUGAGCUUCAGAUGAAUGGAAUGUGACCUAUACAUACUUAUUCCAAACUACCUGGUAAUCUUCAGCUACCUAAGAAAAAUUACCAGGUGUUUUUCAAAGAAGUUAAGGCCGUGCAAGCCUGCACUUCAUUGCCAUUGUUUGCAAUCUUGAUUCACGGUCAUUUGUGGAGUACUGUAAAACUGUUGGUAAAUAAGGACUGCUUGCGCUGUUUAAACAAUAUUUCUCAGUAUUUGCCUGCUUCUGUAAUUACAUGGUAAUUAUUUUUCAUUGUUGACAGUAAAAUAUGUAGCAUAUUUCGCAGGUAGAAUUCACAGUGCUGAUCUGUUUUAAAAUAUUGUUUUGGGGGCAUAUUCUAUAUGCUGAUUAACAUUGUUCUCAUAUACCUCUGGUCACAGAGAGCCCUGUCAAUUUUAGGACAGUAAAGGAGGAAAGACAUCUUACAAAAACUUUAUGGCAUUAUGAUGGUCUCUACUUACAAGUACAUUUUUACUGAAAUGUAAGAUAGUCUUAAAGAAAAUGUCUGAGGAAUUUUAAAGUUUUUAAUAAUACCUUUAAAAUACAUGUAAUAUUUCUUCAUUUACUGAAAAGCUAUAUGUUAAUACUCUAAUAUUAAUAUUUUAUAUUUUAUAUUUUUAUAAAUAUUAUAUUGUAAAAUAUAUUUUAUAUUAAUAUAAAAUAUUUUAUAUUAUUUUAUUAUGCUUUUAUAUUAGAAAACAUAAUACUUUGACAUUGUCAGCUCCCAUUGUAUUUAUUUAAAUACCAAGCUAGUAUUUUUGAAAGAACAUGGAAACACACUAAGAAGGCAAACAUCAGAUAUGGUAGAUUGUUUUCGUCAUUGGUUUUGAUGUCUGCGUUUGUUGUUUUAUAGUCCCAUAUUAAGCUGACUCAUUAUAAAACUUAGAAAACUUUUUUAAAGAAUUGUGACACCCCCUUGUAUAGACACUCUAUUAGUUUCUUUGAGCCAUUUCGUAACACUAAACAAAGCUAUCUUUAUUAACCCCCUCUCAAAUAAAUCACUUCUUUCAGGAAGGUUAUUCAAGGGAUACCUAUGGAAUUUCUCUGCGUGUUUGUUUAUGCGGGUAUUUUUUGCAGUCAGGUUGCUUUGAAAGCUCGUUAUAUUUUAAACUGUGCUCCAUGAUAAACAAAAGCAAAUUCUCCUCCUUUGGAAAACCUAAGUAGUUCUUAUCUGAACUUCGAUUUGUUUUUAAUUGAAAAUAAUACACAAAUUUUUAGUUUACAGAAGCGAAAUUUUGGUAUAAAAAUCCCCAGAAUACCGCUUGUAAUUGCAUUAGAUGCCUAAUUCCUGAUUUUCAGUUUCAGGUCUUCUCAAAACAUUGAUUUUUUUUUUUCCUCUUGCAACU
This is a long non-coding RNA of Hippopotamus amphibius kiboko, 2126 nucleotides long. RefSeq lists it as uncharacterized. The transcript is spliced from 6 exons. The record is from RefSeq and is a predicted model, not a curated record. Lineage: Eukaryota; Metazoa; Chordata; Mammalia; Artiodactyla; Hippopotamidae.